RNAcentral lists this transfer RNA (71 nucleotides) under Rattus norvegicus (Norway rat). It matches the Rfam family "tRNA". Rfam says of the family: Transfer RNA (tRNA) molecules are approximately 80 nucleotides in length. The record is from Rfam by way of RNAcentral. Lineage: Eukaryota; Metazoa; Chordata; Mammalia; Rodentia; Muridae.
GGGGAUUUAGCUCAGUGGUAGAGAGCACUUGCCUGGCAAGCACAAGGCCCUGGGUUCGGUCCCCAGCUCCG